RNAcentral lists this long non-coding RNA (3955 nucleotides) under Eucalyptus grandis. Its description in RNAcentral is "long non-coding RNA (EGRA_LNC005059)". Lineage: Eukaryota; Viridiplantae; Streptophyta; Magnoliopsida; Myrtales; Myrtaceae. The record is from RNAcentral.
CUCUCUCUCCUUGGGGUUUUUUUUUUCUCUCGCUCUCUCACGCUCUCUCGGAAAAAGACGGAGUCUCUCUCCCACGCUCUUGGCUCCCGCACGCUCUCUUUUUUUCUCUCGGAGGAUCCCUCUCUAAAAGGGAAAACGGCCGAACGGUCUCGGGGACUCUCUCUCUCUCUCUGAUCGGCUCAUCAACUGGUGCGUUCGAAACCCUUGAUUGGAUCUCUGGAUCCAAUCGCGAAUCGGCGAAGCCGCUCUGUUCGAUUCCCUGUCGUCGCAAAUCGCGCCGAACACCGUCGAAGAGCAGCGUCGCUGCCACCGCCGAUUGGAGGCUCUCGGAUCUCACCGCCUCGCGUGGCUCAGCCGGAUCGACGGACGCUCUCAAAGGGAUCUCUCUCUGGAUUCGUGAGGGUUCAGUUGUUCUUUCGGAGGCUCCUUCUCCGUCGAAGCUUGGGUCGAAGGUUUUCUUCCAUUAGCAGGCGAUCAGAGAUCGAGCGCCGGUGGUUGGGGAUCGCUAGGGAAAUCUGUUCUUUCUCUCUGUUCGAGUUCUCGCUCUCUCUGUUCGAGCGAUCCGGCUUCGGAAGCUUUGGAUCAGGUGUUCUCCGACUCUUUCCCAGAGAUUUGACGCUCGCUCGCUCCAUCAGGUUCGCCAUUCUCUCUCGAUCGCUCUAUCUCGCGCUCAGCCUGUCGCUCGCUUUCUCUCUGUUUUCCCCUAUCAAUUGCCUGCUAUUGAAGUUCAUUAGGUAAUCUGAGCUUGUAAAAUUGUUGUCGUGAUAAGUUUGGUUGCGCUUUCCUAUCUGGCUGUGGCAUUUUGGACUCGAGGCUGAGAUACCUACUUUCUACUCGAUGAAAUGCUUAAGCUAGAUCAGAGUUGAUUAUCGAGUGUCUCUUUCAACUGUUGAUUGGUAAAUGUAAUCAAUUCAUGUCUGAAACUAAACCAUUGAUGAAAUAAGUUUUUCCAUGGCCGAGGUUUUCUCUCAGAUUGACCACAAAUUUGAUCUCAUGUAUUGCUAAGCGUGUAUUUGUGCACCGAUAUGUCAGUGAGGGUAUAGAGGAGGAAGAGUUUCUCUGAGGCCCGUGAAAAUCUCGCUGCCCUUAAGAAAGAUUUUUGGGGAGGUGGAUGUUGAGUCUGCCGAGUAGGAGUUGACUGGUGAUUGAUUGUCCAAUGUUAAUCUGUUCUAGGAUUUUGGAGGUUAAUGAGUCAAUGUGAUUAAUAGAUUGAUUUGGACAAUUAAACGCAGAAAUUAAUGGAAGAAAUCAGCUAGAAAAAUAAUUCUGAUUUCUUAAAGCUUCGAAUCAGUAGGGUGCCUAUUAAAAUUGAAGUUCAUUUGCUGUGAGAAACAAGCCACUAAAUCUAGGAGCUGAAUCUGGGAAUUUUGACUUCAAUUCUUCAAUAAUAGUUUCUGGCAUGAUCUGUGUUUGUUCUCUAAUCAUACGUUGUCUUGAAUAUAUUGAUAUAAUCUACUAAGGUUAAUGAAUUUCUGUGGAUUGAUGAUCAAUGAUCAUGAACUUGAAGUUGAUUGAACUUGAUUUGCCUUGAUAUGUCACUUUCUGUUUUGGCUUAAAUGAGGUGAUAGAUGAGGCUUUCUGGUCUUGAGCCCUUUUAGACAUAGAAAAUAGACUUCUCAAGCUUUGAUUUGAUAUGUUGCAUGCCCUGAACGGACGUCAUUCGGUCAUUGAAAAACACCUACAAAGUCUGUUGAUUCUGCUCUGAUAUUCUGUUUCUUUUGCUGAUCUGACCUUCUGUGCAAAUGACUUAAUAUGAGCUGGUUGUUGUGGUUUUCUGUGUUCGAAGUCUUCAUGAAAGUCGAAGAUGGUUCGAAAAUCUUUCCAAUGAGCUAUAAAAUGCCCUGAUUGAAUCUCAUUUGAUAUGAUUUUCACAUGUCCAAAGUUCAGUCCAGAAUCUGUCCUGUUUGAGACCUGAUGCAUGUGUUCAAAUUUGAGUUAGUAAACAUGCUUUGCUGGAGUUGAAUCUUUCAUGAGAGUCAUUAUCAUAUUUGAACCCCGUUUGAUGUGAAUAUCAUGCACCCAUUUGGCUAAUUGCAAUUGAUAUUUGCUGUUCAUGCGUGAAUUUGCUGAUAUUGAAAUUUGGAAAUAGUCUUGAUUUAGAAUACGUGCUUUGUUUUUAUAGCUUCAAAUACUUGUGAAUUUGGUAUGAAUUUUUUGUGUGAGGAGUUUGGGAUUAGGUCCUUCAUGAAAGUUGUCCUUCACAUAAAAACUGCAUAAAAAAAUGGUUGUAUGUUUGCCUUGCUGCUCUGUUCUACUUUUAAUUGACCUUGAUCUCUUCCAGGAUUUUAUAAAUUCGCGUGCUUUUUGUUACAAUAUAUAAUGAAGUGCUGUCUUUGAUUUUUGAAGUUGAUUCGAUUAUAAAAAUGCUAUCUUUUCUGUGGCUAGUUGCCUUUAGUCUUAAAAUGAGAUAGUAGAUUUGUCCAAUUAUUUUCAAUAUGUUGUAGAAUGACGGUGUGACAUGUUACUAUGCUUUAUUCUGGAUUGACUUGUUUUUUUUUAGAAUUUUUAGAAAUUCAUGUGUUGAUAUGAUGAUAGUGUCUCUAUGAGAUUUAUUUGGGAUAUCACCUAGAAUUUGAUCCAGAGACCUUGUGACUUUAGUCACUCUUUUUUGAAAUAUAAAAAAUGUCUUGCUUUUGAUUGUUUUGAUGCGUUUGCUCGUCUAUUUCCAUUGUAUGCAUUUAGCUAGAAGUUUCCUAAGCUAGGUUUAGAUUAGGACCCCGAAGAUGAAGAAGGUGUAAGGCGUGAAGAUGGUGGAGGUCGAUGUCCAUUCCGACCAUUGUCAUGUACUAUUUGUUUUCCCGACAUAUGUGUCGGUUCCUAGCAUUGUAUAAAACCCGACGAGUUGCGGGUUUUCUUUCUUUCCUUUUUAAUUGUUUUUUUUCUUUUAUAUUCUUUAGAAUUGCUUGAUUAGGUUUACUGUUUUUCCUUGAUUGCUUACUUCAUGUUUUGUAAUUUCAAUUUCAUUGGUUGUUUUCCUUUUUAUUUUUUAGAAAUAGAAAAGCAUGAAAAUGAUCAACCACGCAUGAUCACUUAGUCUAGGAAUUGAUGAUCCCGAAAAUGUAAAAAGAUACGCAUGAACACGUUAAAUAAAAAAAAAAAACACAACAUACCCUUUAGGUACCGAAAGGGCGCUAAUAGCAAAAUUAGCGUAACCCAAGUCCCCGAACCUAGAUAUCUGGUUGCGUAGGAAUCGAGGGAAUACUCCCAACCCUCGAUUGGGUUUCUAGCCAACCCCAAAAAAUGAGGCUAGUGGCGACUCCUGUAUAUUUUUAGGUUGUUAUAAACAACUAGAUCGCAUGAUAAACCUACUGUCACGCGGGGUACGGGCUUGGGAGAGCUCGCGAUCUUGAGAUCAAGUAUCCCUAAACCCGACCUUUCCCAUCCUUGGAUACCAUUUCGAGGGGCGGCGAGAUCGGGUCGCGACACCAAGUACGUAGGAUGGAAUGUGAUUUAAGGUUAGUAUACUCAAGCAGUUGCCUGUAAAAUGGUAGAUAAGGCGGUGUCAACGCCAAUCGCAUCUAGGCCACCUGUUAAAUCUGAUGCUGAUAAUUACUGUUGUGCAGUUCUCCUGGCAAAUCUAAAACAUAGCACAUUUGCUUCACCGAGCGAAAAGCACGAGGCGAGAGGAGGCGCAUAUUUCUGGAUCGUCAAUAUGUUUCUUGGAAUUGCAACUUCGCUGAACACGCUAUUAUCUUUCAUUGCAUUUUCAGUUUUAGUACAUAUGGACCAGUAACUCUCUCUCUCUCUCUCUCUCUCUCUCUCUCUCUCUCUCUCUCUCUCUCUCUCUCUCUCUCUCAAUGUUCCUUAGAGGUAGGGUGUCUCGAGUUUGGGACAUAAUUGAUGUAGCCCAAGGCCGGUUAUUCAAACAAUAUGAUUGUGAGAGUAACUUACACAUACGGAAACUUAGUCACAAAAUUGAGCAAAAAAUUUAAUUAUACGCUAAUCUAGAAAAAUG